Molecule: long non-coding RNA, 852 nt
Organism: Numida meleagris (helmeted guineafowl)
Lineage: Eukaryota; Metazoa; Chordata; Aves; Galliformes; Numididae
Exons: 4
Source: RefSeq, a predicted model, not a curated record
UGUGACCAGGAUAAUGAUGGAAACGGAAAUGCGGGGAGGCGGGGAAGAGGCCAUUUGCAGCUCUUGGCACUUGAGAGAGAUGGGUGCUCACCCCGUGUUACUUUACAGCUUCAUCUGGGAGCACGUUCUCCCAAUGGACAGGAUGGAUGGGAAAGCUGUUUCAGUUCCUAUUACCCCUGCGUCUUGAAGACAAGCUUUGGCCGUGGAGAGCAACAGCAGCACAUGCUCCAGUGCCAAGCAGCUCAUGCUCCAUGUCCCUGGCAAGAGGGCCUGGAGCACUUGUGCAGUGAGGAAAGCCUGAGAACCCUGGGUUGUCGAGAGAGUCCUUCCCUGAGGUUCUUGCAAAGCCAGCUGGAUGUGGGCCUGGGAAACCUGCUCAGAGUGGCCCUGCAGGAGGGUUCGGAGCGGGUCGUGCAAUCAUAGAAUCACUGAGGUGGACAAAGAUCCUCAGAGUUUGAUUCCGCAAGUCAAGGGGAAGGAGGGAGCUCCCUCACUGCCACUUGCAGCAGCAGCUACACAAUGGCACCGAGCCACGAUGGGGAGGCCAUGAGGCCGUGAUGCCAAAGCAGACAGAAGCCCUUCAGAAACCUAGACAGAGAUUGUGGUGAGAAGGACCAUGGCAGGGAUCGGUUUCCUUUAGUCCUACCACAAGCUGGAUGCCUUCUACUGAGCAGCAGCACCCAACUGCUCAUCCUUCUGCUGUAGCAGGGCUGCAUUUUGUGAAGCAGCACCGAGAGCAGCUGAUCCAAUGCGUGAUGUCUGUCAGUCUUGUCCUGGACCGGCUGUAUGGAUGCAUCCUGACCAACGAGCUGUACCAGAGCGACCGAGCAAUGCCCACCACGCAGGAGCAGA